This 168-nucleotide ribosomal RNA is filed under the name uncultured bacterium. RNAcentral's name for it is "partial 16S ribosomal RNA". It matches the Rfam family "Bacterial small subunit ribosomal RNA", at positions 368 to 526 of the family's 1533-position model. The record is from RNAcentral.
ACAAUGGGGCGCAAGCCUGAUCCAGCCAUGCCGCGUGUGUGAAGAAGGUCUUCGGAUUGUAAAGCACUUUAAGUUGGGAGGAAGGGCAGUAAGUUAAUACCUUGCUGUUUUGACGUUACCGACAGAAUAAGCACCGGCUAACUCUGUGCCAGCAGCCGCGGUAAUUAU